RNAcentral lists this unclassified non-coding RNA (88 nucleotides) under Pseudomonas grimontii. The record is from RNAcentral. Lineage: Bacteria; Pseudomonadati; Pseudomonadota; Gammaproteobacteria; Pseudomonadales; Pseudomonadaceae.
GUGGGAGGGGGCUUGCUCCCGAUCGCGGUGGGUCAGUCAACCUAUGUAUCGGCUGAUUCACCGUAAUCGGGAGCAAGCCCCCUCCCAC